GGCGUGAUUAUGUGGAGCGUGAGGAGCUAAACACCUUCAUGCCUGCAUAUUCGUGUUCUUUGGGUGUACUUGCCCGCAUGGUAGGUUAACAUCAAUUUCGGGCGCCAUAAAAUGGUUGGAGGAAUGUAGCUUCGACCUCGGUUGAAGUGUUAUAGCCUCCGGCAGAUGUGAUGAACGGGAUUGAGGAUUGCAACGGACCCUUCGGGGCCACCUGUCUGGCCUCUGGUGGUCGCUCUGGUGCCGAAAGCUUGCUUACGGUUAUCAGAGUUGAUUGUCAAAAGGUUAGAACGGGUUAAAUUCGUUAAGGAUGUUGACGUA
RNAcentral lists this ribosomal RNA (318 nucleotides) under uncultured Glomeromycotina. RNAcentral's name for it is "eukaryotic LSU rRNA". The record is from RNAcentral. Lineage: Eukaryota; Fungi; Glomeromycota.